UUUAGUACAGGAGACUGUUGUGUGCCUGUUUAGGAGGUGUUUAGACCAUGUGAUCUGCUCCACAAAACAGAGCACUUACAAAUAUAUUUUUUAAAAAAAUGGAAGUGUGGCACUUUAUAUCCAUAAAUAACACCAAUAUUAUGACAUAUUCAGCUCUUCAUAUUUUUGAGUACUAGCUCACUUCUUACUAGAAGGACAAAUGGGUCUCCAUCACUCCAUGCACAAAAGAAGCUGACUUUACUGUUUUGGUAUGCAGCAGUAAUACACUAACAGUCCGUAAUUGGCUUUGUCCUCGUUCCUGGGACAACUUUCUACAGCAGUUUUCUGUCGUCCUCUAAGUGCAACACCCAGAACUACUUGAAUCAGAUAUCGAGCUGAAACAAUGAUUAAAGGAUAGAAUCGCUGCCAGUGAAAUCUGUAAUUUAGGAGUCAACAAACGGUCACAUGUGCUGAGUCCUACAUACCUCCAAACUUUUGUUUGCGGACAUGAACAAAGGAUUUUUCACAAAAGCGGUGAUUGUCAAAUGCAAAUGAAGCGCUUAGAGAUGCGACAGGUUGUUAAAAAAAGUGAACUUAUCCUUUCAGUGUUGCAAAAGUACCAAACGUUGAUCUGCACCAGCAUCAGGCCGGCAAUAUUAAGUACAGUGAUCAUCUCAGCCGUGUUCAGUGAACCUCAGAGGACUCACGUGUGGAGCCGCUUGUUUCCAUUUGGUGGCGAUUGUUAAAAUCCUGAUCAAAACAGUAUGCAAACACAUCUACAUUCUGAAUGAACUUUGAUUUUCUACAUCUUCUCAAUGUUAAAUGAAAAAGUUCAUCUUCUGGGUGUUUUUUUUCCCCUCCUUUUUGCAAAUAAAAUUAGUUUUGUUA
Long non-coding RNA from Thalassophryne amazonica, 867 nucleotides. RefSeq lists it as uncharacterized. NCBI's taxonomy places the organism in Eukaryota, Metazoa, Chordata, Actinopteri, Batrachoidiformes, Batrachoididae. The record is from RefSeq and is a predicted model, not a curated record. The transcript has 2 exons.